UACGUAGGGACCAAGCGUUGUUCGGAUUUACUGGGCGUAAAGGGCGCGUAGGCGGCUUAACAAGUCACUUGUGAAAUCUCCGGGCUUAACUCGGAACGGCCAAGUGAAACUGUCAAGCUAGAGUGCGGAAGGGGCAAUCGGAAUUCCUGGUGUAGCGGUGAAAUGCGUAGAUAUCAGGAGGAACACCGGUGGCGAAGGCGGCUACCUGGACAGAAACUGACGCUGAGGCGCGAAAGCUAGGGGAGCAAACAGG
This 253-nucleotide ribosomal RNA is filed under the name uncultured bacterium. RNAcentral's name for it is "partial 16S ribosomal RNA". It matches the Rfam family "Bacterial small subunit ribosomal RNA", at positions 524 to 776 of the family's 1533-position model. The record is from RNAcentral.